This 326-nucleotide long non-coding RNA is filed under the name Vulpes vulpes (red fox). RNAcentral describes it as "lncRNA (ENSVVUG00000021679.1)". Lineage: Eukaryota; Metazoa; Chordata; Mammalia; Carnivora; Canidae. The record is from RNAcentral.
CAUUAAAACCAAGGACUUCAGACCUUCGGACUGAGUUGGCACUGAUGAUGUGGAACUGCCUCCAUCUCCCUCCAUCAGCACCUGUUGUAGCCAUCGAGGGUUUCGUGGUGCCUGGGUGUCAGGGGCCAGACUUCCUGCAGAACCGAGAGCUUUUACCAGCGAUGGAUCGGGAGCAACUUCCGUCCAGGGAGGAUCAAUUACCAAAGAACUGCAGCUCCAGGGAUGCCUGGGUGGCUCAGCAGUUGAGCGUCUGCCUUCAGCCCAGGCUGUGAUCCUGGGGUUCUGGGGUGGAGUCCCCCAGCCAGCUCCCUGAAUGGAGCCUGCUU